GACGUAGGGUCCGAGCGUUGUCCGGAGUUACUGGGCGUAAAGGGCGCGUAGGCGGUUACUCGCGUCGCACGUGAAAGCCCCCGGCUCAACCGGGGAGGGUCGUGCGAGACGGAGUAACUGGAGGCAGAGAGAGGCUGGUGGAAUUCCCGGAGUAGUGGUGAAAUGCGUAGAGAUCGGGAGGAACACCGGUGGCGAAGGCGGCCAGCUGGCUCUGACCUGACGCUGAGGCGCGAAGGCGUGGGGAGCGAACGGG
Molecule: ribosomal RNA, 253 nt
Filed under: uncultured prokaryote
Description: partial 16S ribosomal RNA
Rfam family: Bacterial small subunit ribosomal RNA
Source: RNAcentral